GACGAACGCUGGCGGCGUGCCUAAUACAUGCAAGUAGAACGCACAGUUUAUACCGUAGCCUGCUACACCAUAGACUGUGAGUUGCGAACGGGUGAGUAACGCGUAGGUAACCUGCCUGGUAGCGGGGGAUAACUAUUGGAAACGGUAGCUAAUACCGCAUAAUAUUGAUUAUUGCAUGAUAAUUAAUUGAAAGGUGCAAUUGCACCACUACCAGAUGGACCUGCGUUGUAUUAGCUAGUAGGUGAGGUAACGGCUCACCUAGGCGACGAUACAUAGCCGACCUGAGAGGGUGAUCGGCCACACUGGGACUGAGACACGGCCCAGACUCCUACGGGAGGCAGCAGUAGGGAAUCUUCGGCAAUGGACGAAAGUCUGACCGAGCAACGCCGCGUGAGUGAAGAAGGUUUUCGGAUCGUAAAGCUCUGUUGUAAGAGAAGAACGGGUGUGAGAGUGGAAAGUUCACACUGUGACGGUAUCUUACCAGAAAGGGACGGCUAACUACGUG
RNAcentral lists this ribosomal RNA (505 nucleotides) under uncultured bacterium. RNAcentral describes it as "partial 16S ribosomal RNA". It matches the Rfam family "Bacterial small subunit ribosomal RNA", at positions 28 to 507 of the family's 1533-position model. The record is from RNAcentral.